Molecule: long non-coding RNA, 3201 nt
Filed under: Oncorhynchus kisutch (coho salmon)
Lineage: Eukaryota; Metazoa; Chordata; Actinopteri; Salmoniformes; Salmonidae
Description: lncRNA (ENSOKIG00005018954.1)
Source: RNAcentral
AUGCAAUCAUCCCCAGUAUACAGCAUAGCCCAUCAAAGCAUGAUGCUGUGGCAGAAAAGAUUCCUGCCCAGAUCAAUAGGUGAAUUCAGAGAGUACUCCUCAUUUCACUCUCUCCAUUACCAUGGCAACCCACGAGAGCGUUGGAUGCCCAUAGUGAGUCUUGAAUGUGCAGUGAACUUUUGCUCAGUAUGGAUGUCAUUUGUUAAUGUUUCUCCGUCUGACUCAGGUCCUCACAACAUGGAGACUCUAUUUCCUGACAGCCAAGGUUCCAACAAAGAUUGAGGUGACAUUUAACUUCUUGGAGAUCCGAGCCAUGAACAGUCACCCAGAGUUGCAGGCGAGUAACAUAAGCCAGAUUAACUCAGGUUUUGAAUGGCCAUGUUGGUGCAUCGUCCAUGUGGCCUCUUUAAUUUGAACUGAUUAGUUAUUUGAACAGAUUUAUAAUGGAGUAGGCCUAUUAGCAACAUCAUCUCAACAUCUGAGCAAUCAAUCAAAUCAGUUAAUCUAAUCUACAAUAUGGAGAUACUGUAUGAGGAUCUUAAUUCAUGUAAGCAGAGCUACAGCAAUUCGGUCUCUGCUUGGAUAUUUACUGCAAUUAACUUAGUUAUCUGGCAUCAUGCCGAAAAUCACUGGUCCGUCUAUCACUCUAUUAAUUGAAACUAUGUUGUUGUUGUUUUCCUAUGCAGGUCGUCAUAGACUUGGACAAGUCCACUUAUUCCCUGAGGCUUCAGUCACGUGACCACCUCAGUCAUGUGGUCAGCCACGUUAACUUUGCCCUGUCCAGAAUAUUCAACAACUCUGUUUUCUCGUAAGUGUCUAUUUUCAGGCAGCAUAGACUCCUGUACCUGACAGCUUUGAAACCCAGACAAAUUAUAAAUAAUGUUAGCUAUUAUGUCCCUUCUGAAACGUGUCCCCUCUCUCUCUCAGUCCCUCCAUCUGUCAUUCAGACAGUGACCUUUCUGAGGGAAGCAGGAAGUACUCCCCCAGCUCAGAGACGUCUGUUGAAACCCAGAGGGCCUGUGGUAAGAAAUGCACAGACAGGCAGGAAGACAGACGGACACAGAUAUACAGACUGCAUAAGAGACAGAUUCUAGUUGAUGAUUGACAGGCAGGAAAUUGUUGAGUAAAUUGAAAUGAGAGGCUGAAAGCAGGUCCUCAUUAAGUGGCAAAUGGAUAGAGAAACCCACUGCACUGCAUGCAGUACAUAUUUUCAAGUUAAUUAUUAGCUUUUUACACAGACAUUGUAAACGUAGGGUAAUUGCACUGCUUGUCAUCUCUAUUUUCUCUCUCUCAGUGAAACAAACACCUGCUCUGCACCCCUGUCCAGCAGUCAAAUAACCAAAUCGCCCUCUAGUGGCCUCAUGGGUGGAAUGUUGUCAAUAUUUUUAAUCAUACCAUAAAUAAUAAACAUAUUGUUCGUUUUUUUUUGCGCUGAAUAUCCAGUGUUUCUACAGUACCAGUCAAAAGUUUGGAUACACCUACUCAUUCAAGGGUUUUUCUUUAUUUUUGCUAUUUUCUACAUUGUAGAACAAUAGUGAAGACAUCAAAACUAUGAAAUAACACAUAUGAAAUCAUUUAGUAACCAAUUUUUUUUUAAACAAAUCAAAAUAUAUUUUAUAUUUGAGAUUCUUCAAAGUACAUAGCCUGGAGGUGUGUUGGGUCAAUUUCCUGUUGAAAAACAAAUGAUAGUCCCACUGAGGGCAAACCAGAUGGGAUGGCGUAUCGCUGCAGAAUGCUGUGGUAGCCAUGCUGGUGACAGUGGUUCUUCCUGUAAAAGUUGCGUCAUACUGCAGUAUACCUUCAUCCUCAUCAUUCAGUUAAUUGAAAUUCAAAUUUGAAGUCGUGCACAAUUAUCAGUUUCCAUUUGGUUCAAAUCGCCCAUUCAUUGUCAGGUAGAGACACAUUGGGACCCAAAAGCAUAAUCAGUGCUCUAACUCCCCCUUGCGGUGGUUUGGAGCAAUGAAGCACUGAUGCAGGGUAACGUACUAUACCACAAAUUACCUCUAAGUUCCGUGGCUUAAUCUCAAAAUGUUUAAUUGAGGAACCACUGUAAGUGUGCCUUGAAUUCUAAAUAAAUCACAGACAGUGUCACCAGCAAAGAAGCCCCACACAAUCACACCUCCUCCUCCAUGCUUCACGGUGGGAACCACACAUGCGGAGAUCAUCCAUUCACCUACUCUGCAUCUCACAAAUGCAUGGAGGUUGGAACCAAAAAUCUCAAAUUUGGACUCAUCAGACCAGUUUUAUCACAGCGCUUGGUGGUUUUUGCGACUGCACUUGAAGAAACUUUCAAAGUUCUUGAAAUGUUCCGUAUUGACUGACCUUCAUGUCUUAAAUGAGUGAUGGACUGUCGUUUCUCUUUGCUUAUUUGAGCUGUUCUUGCCAUAAUAUGGACUUGGUGUCUUACCAAAUAGGACUAUCUUCUGUAUACCUCCCCUACCUUGUCAUAACAAAACUGAUUGGCUCAAACGCAUUAAGAAGGAAAGAAAUUCCAGAAAUUGACUUUUCACAAUACACACCCAAUUGAAAUGCAUUUCAGGUGCCUACAUCAUGAAGCUGUUUGAGAGAAUGCCAAGAGUGUGCAAAGCUGUCAUCAAAGCAAAGGGUGACUACUUUGAAGAAUAUCAAAUCUCAAAUAUAUUUUGAUUUGUUUAACACGUUUUUGGUUACUACAUGAUUCCAUACGUGUUAUUUCAUAGUUUUGAUGUCUUCACUAUUAUUCUGCAAUGUAGAAAAUUGGUACUGGUUUUGUUAUAUUUCAAGUCGGUUUCUUUGAUGUAUAGUAUAUAAAGUGUAAUAGUGGGAUGCAAACUCAAAAUGGAAUACAUUUCAACUCUAUAUCUGACAUGGUACAGGUGUCUUCUUUUGUUAAGCCAAUAACAAUGUGUGUGAGGUGUAUAGUUUUGUUUCAGAGUAGAUUUGUUUAAGACUCCCAAGAAACACUCUGUGUGACCCCUAUUUAGCCCAAUGCAGUAAAAGGUUAAAACCCUCCUCUCUCACCAUCAUCUAUUUUUCUUCCUCUCUGUCCGUCUCAGGAGGGUUUUCCGAGACCUACGCUGCCCUGUGUGACUACAAUGGAAUCAGCUGCAAGGAGGAAGUGCAGUGGGUAAGAGCAAUGGGAGUAGGCCUGUUGUGUGUUCGUGUGCUGGACUGUUAUAGUGCUUUCACAAAGUAUUCAUACCACUUGACUUAUUCCGCAUU